GAUGAAGAACGUAGCGAAAUGCGAUAAGUAAUGUGAAUUGCAGAAUUCAGUGAACCAUCGAAUCUUUGAACGCACAUUGCGCCCGGCAGUAAUCUGCCGGGCAUGCCUGUCCGAGCGUCAUUUCUGCCCUCGAGCGAGUCCAGCAUCUAGGUGCUGGGCCCGCCCGGCGUUGGGGCACUACGGGAAGCCCUGUGUUGUCCCCCGUAGGCCCCGAAAUGAAGUGGCGGUCCUGCCGCGGCGCCCCCUGCGUAGUAUAACAGCUCGCUUCGGGACCCGGUGGAGGCCUGCCGUCAAACCUUACUCUCUAAGUUUGACCUCGGAUCAGGUAGGGUUACCCGCUGAACUUAAGCAUAUCAAUAAGCGGAGGA
RNAcentral lists this unclassified non-coding RNA (368 nucleotides) under soil metagenome. Its description in RNAcentral is "partial contains 5.8S ribosomal RNA, internal transcribed spacer 2, and large subunit ribosomal RNA". The stretch from base 1 to 120 matches the Rfam family "5.8S ribosomal RNA", at positions 35 to 154 of the family's 154-position model. The record is from RNAcentral.